This is a non-coding RNA of Schistosoma margrebowiei, 78 nucleotides long. The record is from Rfam. NCBI's taxonomy places the organism in Eukaryota, Metazoa, Platyhelminthes, Trematoda, Strigeidida, Schistosomatidae.
AGCUUUCUUGAACCAUACCGAGAUUUUGUCAAACACCAACCCACCAAUGCCGAUAAGACUUCUAAGAUAAGUGAAGUA